CCUACGGGUGGCUGCAGUCGAGGAUCUUCGUCAAUGGGCGAAAGCCUGAACGAGCGACGCCGCGUGCGCGAUGAAGGCCUUCGGGUUGUAAAGCGCGAAAGUGGGGACGAAAGCCGAAAGGUUUGACUGAUACACAGUAAGCUCGGGCUAAGUUCGUGCCAGCAGCCGCGGUAAGACGAACCGAGCGAACGUUGUUCGGAAUCACUGGGCUUAAAGGGCGCGUAGGCGGGCAUUCAAGUCCGUGGUGAAAUCCGGCAGCUCAACUGUCGAAUUGCCGCGGAUACUGGGUGCCUCGAGGGAGGUAGGGGUGCGCGGAACUAACAGUGGAGCGGUGAAAUGCGUUGAUAUUGUUAGGAACUCCGGUGGCGAAGGCGGCGCACUGGACCUCUUCUGACGCUGAGGCGCGAAAGCCAGGGGAGCAAACGGGAUUAGAUACCCUAGUAGUC
RNAcentral lists this ribosomal RNA (446 nucleotides) under uncultured bacterium. RNAcentral's name for it is "bacterial SSU rRNA". It matches the Rfam family "Bacterial small subunit ribosomal RNA", at positions 338 to 795 of the family's 1533-position model. The record is from RNAcentral.